GCCACGGCCAUACCAGCCUGGGUACGCCCGAUCUCGUCUGAUCUCGGAAGCUAAGCAGGGUCGGGCCUGGUUAGUACUUGGAUGGGAGACCGCCUUGGAAUACCAGGUGCUGUAAGCA
RNAcentral lists this ribosomal RNA (118 nucleotides) under Salmo salar (Atlantic salmon). The record is from RNAcentral. Lineage: Eukaryota; Metazoa; Chordata; Actinopteri; Salmoniformes; Salmonidae.